Molecule: long non-coding RNA, 579 nt
Organism: Pantherophis guttatus
Lineage: Eukaryota; Metazoa; Chordata; Lepidosauria; Squamata; Colubridae
Source: RefSeq, a predicted model, not a curated record
CUGCAACACAGAGUGAAUUUUAAUGCUAUUUUACUUGCCUAUUGGCUAAAAAUAUACGUCAGUUCUCUUACUAAACUUUAAUAAGGAUCUUAAAAUAAUUCCUCUUGUCACAUUUCGAUGAAUUGACUACAAUUAAGCCCAACUGAGUAUUUUAAGAAAUAUCCAGGAGCACACAGACGAUGUAGAAAAUGAUAUAUGGAUAUCUUAAAGAAGGUGUAAGCAGUGAUUGUUGGAAAAGUAAGGCGGUUAAACCUGAUGGCUUGCAGAGAUUUAUCUGAUUUUACAUUCAUAAUAUUACAUUUCUAUUGAGCAGAUUCAGACUGAAUUCUGUUCAGAAGGUGAGGGAAUUUCUAAGAAAGAUUUAAAGGAAAAUUGGAGGAGAUACAAAUGGAACUCUCAGAGGAUACUACAGAAACAUCACAACAGAUGCAACAGGAAAAAGCUGAUCCUGAAUUAACUGCUACAGAUAUUGACUUAUCUAAAUUUUUGGCCUUAAUACGAAUUACAAAUGUUUAACAUGGAAUAUAAAUGGAGCAAAUGUUCCUCAAAGGAGAAAAUAAAUGUCUUUAUUUGAAAAAA